GCCAGGGAACUACGAGCAAAGCUUAAAACCCAAAGGACUUGACGGUGCCCCAUACCCCCCUAGAGGAGCCUGUCCUAUAACCGAUGAUCCCCGUUUAACCUCACCACUUCUAGCUAAUCAGCUUGUAUACUUCCGUCGCCAGCCUACCACGUGAGCGAACCUUAGUUAGCUCAAUUGGCCAAAUUGCCCAGUCAACACCACCAAUACGUCAGGUCAAAGUGCAGCAAAUGAAGCGGAAAGAGAUUGGCUACACUUUUUAGUAUAAAAAAUUUACGGAAGGCAAAUAAUGAAACUUUGUCAGAAGGUGGAUUUAGCAGUAAAAAGAAUUCAUAAUACUCAUUUUAAGUUGGCACUGGAGCGUGU
Molecule: ribosomal RNA, 363 nt
Filed under: Eleutherodactylus parabates (Independencia robber frog)
Lineage: Eukaryota; Metazoa; Chordata; Amphibia; Anura; Eleutherodactylidae
Description: partial 12S ribosomal RNA
Rfam family: Bacterial small subunit ribosomal RNA
Source: RNAcentral